UACGAAGGGAGUUAGCGUUGUUCGGAAUCACUGGGCGUAAAGCGCACGUAGGCGGAUUUGUAAGUCAGGGGUGAAAUCCCGGGGCUCAACCUCGGAACUGCCUUUGAUACUGCAAGUCUCGAGUCCGGAAGAGGUGGGUGGAAUUCCUAGUGUAGAGGUGAAAUUCGUAGAUAUUAGGAAGAACACCGGUGGCGAAGGCGGCUCACUGGCCCGUAACUGACGCUCAGGCGCGAUAGCGUGGGGAUCAAACAGG
Molecule: ribosomal RNA, 253 nt
Filed under: uncultured bacterium
Lineage: Bacteria
Description: partial 16S ribosomal RNA
Rfam family: Bacterial small subunit ribosomal RNA
Source: RNAcentral